AAAUAACUUGACUCUAAGGCAUAUUAAACUGUAAAUUAGUUCUUUUCUCAAGUUCUUCCAAUAUAAUUUGUUUUUAGAUGUACUCUUGAAGGUUCUUUUAAAUGUAUCAAGCAAAGCGUAUCAAGGAUGUAUCAAAUCUUUCUUCCUUACUCACUUAUGUACUGGAUUAAUUGAGUUAAUAGCAUUAGCACUUCCAUAUGGCCUCAAUGGCUUUGUAAGCAUCAAAAUAAUACUAGGAUCCU
Molecule: long non-coding RNA, 242 nt
Filed under: Phoenix dactylifera (date palm)
Lineage: Eukaryota; Viridiplantae; Streptophyta; Magnoliopsida; Arecales; Arecaceae
Description: long non-coding RNA (PDAC_LNC008545)
Source: RNAcentral